CCUACGGGCGGCAGCAGUGGGGAAUAUUGGACAAUGGGGGGAACCCUGAUCCAGCGACGCCGCGUGAGUGAAGAAGUAUUUCGGUAUGUAAAGCUCUAUCAGCAGGGAAGAAAAUGACGGUACCUGACUAAGAAGCCCCGGCUAACGACGUGCCAGCAGCCGCGGUAAUACGUCGGGGGCAAGCGUUAUCCGGAUUGACUGGGUGUCAAGGGAGCGUAGGCGGUGAAGCAAGUCUGAUGUGAAAGCUCGGGGCCCAACCCCGGGACUGCAUUGGAAACUGUUGAACGGGCUUACAGGAGAGUUCAGCGGAUUUCCUAGUGUAGCGGUGGACUUCGUAGAUCUUAGGAGGACCCCCAGUGGCGCCGGCGGCUUACUGGACUGUACCUGACGUUGAGGCUC
This 399-nucleotide ribosomal RNA is filed under the name uncultured bacterium. Its description in RNAcentral is "partial 16S ribosomal RNA". It matches the Rfam family "Bacterial small subunit ribosomal RNA", at positions 338 to 754 of the family's 1533-position model. The record is from RNAcentral.